RNAcentral lists this ribosomal RNA (492 nucleotides) under uncultured bacterium. RNAcentral's name for it is "partial 16S ribosomal RNA". It matches the Rfam family "Bacterial small subunit ribosomal RNA", at positions 29 to 507 of the family's 1533-position model. The record is from RNAcentral.
AGUGAACGCUGGCGGUAGGCCUAACACAUGCAAGUCGAACGGCAGCACAGUAAGAGCUUGCUCUUACGGGUGGCGAGUGGCGGACGGGUGAGGAAUACAUCGGAAUCUACUUUGUCGUGGGUGAUAACGUAGGGAAACUUACGCUAAUACCGCAUACGUCCUACGGGUGAAAGCAGGGGAUCUUCGGACCUUGCGCGAUUGAAUGAGCCGAUGUCGGAUUAGCUAGUUGGCGGGGUAAAGGCCCACCAAGGCGACGAUCCGUAGCUGGUCUGAGAGGAUGAUCAGCCAAACUGGAACUGAGACACGGUCCAGACUCCUACGGGAGGCAGCAGUGGGGAAUAUUGGACAAUGGGCGCAAGCCUGAUCCAGCCAUACCGCGUGGGUGAAGAAGGCCUUCGGGUUGUAAAGCCCUUUUGUUGGGAAAGAAAAGCAGCAGGUUAAUACCCCGCUGUUCUGACGGUACCCAAAGAAUAAGCACCGGCUAACUUCGUG